Molecule: ribosomal RNA, 253 nt
Filed under: uncultured bacterium
Lineage: Bacteria
Description: partial 16S ribosomal RNA
Rfam family: Bacterial small subunit ribosomal RNA
Source: RNAcentral
GACGAACCGUGCGAACGUUGUUCGGAAUCACUGGGCUUAAAGGGCGCGUAGGCGGACUCUCCAGUCGGGAGUGAAAUCGCUCGGCCCAACCGAGCAAGGGCUUCCGAUACUGAGAGUCUCGAGGGAGGUAGGGGUCGAGGGAACUGGUGGUGGAGCGGUGAAAUGCGUAGAUAUCACUAGGAACGCCGGUGGCGAAAGCGCUCGACUGGACCUCUUCUGACGCUGAGGCGCGAAAGCCAGGGGAGCAAACGGG